This 224-nucleotide long non-coding RNA is filed under the name Ananas comosus (pineapple). Its description in RNAcentral is "long non-coding RNA (ACOM_LNC006289)". Lineage: Eukaryota; Viridiplantae; Streptophyta; Magnoliopsida; Poales; Bromeliaceae. The record is from RNAcentral.
AAUUUUUUUUUUUUUUAGCUAUAUAAUAGGCAAUCUAGCUUUUUUUUUUUUUUUUUAAAUAAGUAACACGCUAUCCGCUUCGUUUAUUUUAUUUAAAAAUAAAUUUAGCUGAAAAUAUGAAUCAAUUAGGAUUCAAAUUUGAAACUUUAAAUACCAAUCAUCAAGUUCUUUGCCACUUGCUUUAGAAACAGCCGAUAUAGGCAAUCUAGCUUGAAAGAAGUAAC